RNAcentral lists this ribosomal RNA (547 nucleotides) under uncultured Methanosarcina sp. RNAcentral's name for it is "bacterial SSU rRNA". It matches the Rfam family "Archaeal small subunit ribosomal RNA", at positions 290 to 828 of the family's 1478-position model. The record is from RNAcentral. Lineage: Archaea; Methanobacteriati; Methanobacteriota; Methanomicrobia; Methanosarcinales; Methanosarcinaceae.
CGGCGGGCGGGGCGGGGGCACGGGGGGACGGGGUGCAGCAGGCGCGAAAUCUUUACAAUGCGGGUCACCGUGAUAAGGGGACACCGAGUGCUAGCAAGAAUUGCUGGCUGUCCAGGUGCUUAACUUGCACCUGUUAGCAAGGGCCGGGCAAGACCGGUGCCAGCCGCCGCGGUAACACCGGCGGCCCGAGUGGUGAUCGUUAUUAUUGGGUCUAAAGGGUCCGUAGCCUGUUUGGUCAGUCUUCCGGGAAAUCUGCCAGCUUAACUGGUAGUCUAUCGGUGGAUACUGCCAGACUUGGAACCGGGUGAGGUAAGAGGUACUACAGGGGUAGGAGUGAAAUCUUGUAAUCCCUGUAGGACUACCUGUGGCGAAGGCGUCUUACCAGAACGGGUUCGACGGUGAGGGACGAAAGCUGGGGGCACGAACCGGAUUAGAUACCCGGGUAGUCCCAGCUGUAAACUAUGCUCGCUAGGUGUCAGGCACGGUGCGACCGUGUUUGGUGCCGCAGGGAAGCCGGAAGCGAGCCACCUGAAGACGCGAGAUCUUC